Molecule: long non-coding RNA, 480 nt
Filed under: Trifolium pratense (red clover)
Lineage: Eukaryota; Viridiplantae; Streptophyta; Magnoliopsida; Fabales; Fabaceae
Description: long non-coding RNA (TPRA_LNC000707)
Source: RNAcentral
GUUGAAGAGCUUGAGUUUUUGAUCGAACAUGAUUAUAAAAUUGGGUAUGUCACUAGUGAAUACUUGAGAGUGAUGAGAUAGAUAUAAUUGUUGUGUGUCAUUUGUUUUGAGAUGUAUUAUGUUGGUGUGCAUUUGCAGUUCUAAAAUCCGAGAUCAAAUUAUUCCUAAGGCUGAGAAGCUGGCAAAGGGAAGAGCAAGAGCAAGGUGUGUAUACAGAUUCCAUAAUUUGGCUCAAAUCUUAUUGUCGAUUAUGUUCUUUUGUAUAUUAAUUAUCUUCUAAAUUAUGGGUAACUUCGUGCGGCCUAACAACACAGUUUAUCACAUAAUAAAGCAUGCAGAUGACUAUAGGAGAGCAACACGUGAUAUGGUAGUAGUGGGACAGUAUGACAGAAUUUUGUCUUAUCUUAAAUGGAAACCUCUAGAGGAAAAUUAUGUGAAGCUCAACACUGAUGGGACUUGUAAGGAAGGAGGAGGAAGAGC